GGCGGCAUAGCCAAGUGGUAAGGCAUGGGUCUGCAACACCCUGACCGCCGGUUCAAAUCCGACUGCCGCCU
RNAcentral lists this transfer RNA (71 nucleotides) under Caryophanon tenue. It matches the Rfam family "tRNA". Rfam says of the family: Transfer RNA (tRNA) molecules are approximately 80 nucleotides in length. Lineage: Bacteria; Bacillati; Bacillota; Bacilli; Caryophanales; Caryophanaceae. The record is from Rfam by way of RNAcentral.